UGGAGAUUUAAAGCCUAGAUUAUUAGUAGUUAAGUUCUUGAAAAUUAAUGAAGAUGGCGGUAUUUUAGUCCAUUCAGAGGAAUCUGCCCUGUAAUUGAUAUUCCACGAUUAAAAUUACUUGAGUUUUUAGUUUAUAUAUCGCUGUGGGUUGAAUAUUUCUUUUGAAUUUUUAAUAUUCAGGAUUUUGAGUGAAAGGAUAUCAAGUCAAGAUGUAGCUUAUAUUCAAGAAGAGGUGGAUUACAUUGUUUUUAUUUUUGGUUGGCACGUUGUGAUAUAUGCCAUAAAGUGGAUUUGAAGGUAAUUUUUUAUUAAUAUAUAAAAAAUGAUUUAGGCUCUAAAA
This 340-nucleotide ribosomal RNA is filed under the name Xylosandrus cf. zimmermanni SCY05. Its description in RNAcentral is "partial 12S ribosomal RNA". The record is from RNAcentral. Lineage: Eukaryota; Metazoa; Arthropoda; Insecta; Coleoptera; Curculionidae.